Molecule: ribosomal RNA, 370 nt
Filed under: uncultured soil bacterium
Lineage: Bacteria
Description: bacterial SSU rRNA
Rfam family: Bacterial small subunit ribosomal RNA
Source: RNAcentral
AGAUUGAACGCUGGCGGCAGGCCUAACACAUGCAAGUCGAGCGGUAGAGAGGUGCUUGCACCUCUUGAGAGCGGCGGACGGGUGAGUAAUGCCUAGGAAUCUGCCUAGUGGUGGGGGAUAACGUUCGGAAACGGACGCUAAUACCGCAUACGUCCUACGGGAGAAAGCGGGGGACCUUCGGGCCUCGCGCCAUUAGAUGAGCCUAGGUCGGAUUAGCUAGUUGGUGAGGUAAUGGCUCACCAAGGCGACGAUCCGUAACUGGUCUGAGAGGAUGAUCAGUCACACUGGAACUGAGACACGGUCCAGACUCCGUACGGGAGCAGCAGUGGGGAAUAGUUGGACAAGUGGGACGAAAGCCUGAUCCAGCCAU